GAUGAACGGCUGGCGGCGUGCCUAACACAUGCAAGUCGAGCGCGGUCCCUUUGGUGCUUGCACCAAAGACGACUGAGCGGCGGACGGGUGAGUAACGCGUGGGUAACCUGCCCUGUACAUAUGGAUAACAUGCUGAAAAGCAUACUAAUAUAUAAUAACGUAUAUUGAAGGCAUCUUCGAUGUAUCAAAGCGUUAGCGGUACAGGAUGGACCCGCGUCUGAUUAGCUAGUUGGUGAGGUAACGGCCCACCAAGGCGACGAUCGGUAGCCGGACUGAGAGGUUGAACGGCCACAUUGGGACUGAGACACGGCCCAG
This 315-nucleotide ribosomal RNA is filed under the name uncultured bacterium. RNAcentral describes it as "bacterial SSU rRNA". It matches the Rfam family "Bacterial small subunit ribosomal RNA", at positions 35 to 334 of the family's 1533-position model. The record is from RNAcentral.